UUUCCGUAGGUGAACCUGCGGAAGGAUCAUUACAAAACUACGUACGCCGUCCCUUCGGGGUCGUGUGUUCCUGUUUACACCCUUUGCCUAUGUGUACCCUUUAUCGCUUCCUCGGCGGGCUCGCCCGCCGCCAGGAACCACACCAACCCUUUGCAUCUAUACAUGAAAACUUCUGAUACCAAACGUAAAUUAAUUACAACUUUCAACAAUGGAUCUCUUGGUUCUGGCAUCGAUGAAGAACGCAGC
RNAcentral lists this unclassified non-coding RNA (246 nucleotides) under uncultured fungus. RNAcentral's name for it is "sequence contains ITS1, 5.8S rRNA gene". The stretch from base 198 to 246 matches the Rfam family "5.8S ribosomal RNA", at positions 1 to 49 of the family's 154-position model. The record is from RNAcentral. Lineage: Eukaryota; Fungi.